AGAGUUUGAUCGUGACUCAGAUUGAACGCUGGCGGCAGGCCUAACACAUGCAAGUCGAGCGGAUGACGGGAGCUUGCUCCUUGAUUCAGCGGCGGACGGGUUGAGUAAUGCCUAGGAAUCUGCCUGGUAGUGGGGGACAACGUUUCGAAAGGAACGCUAAUACCGCAUACGUCCUACGGGAGAAAGCAGGGGACCUUCGGGCCUUGCGCUAUCAGAUGAGCCUAGGUCGGAUUAGCUAGUUGGUGGGGUAAUGGCUCACCAAGGCGACGAUCCGUAACUGGUCUGAGAAGAUCGAUCAGUCACACUGGAACUGAGACACGGUCCAGACUCCUACGGGAGGCAGCAGUGGGGAAUAUUGGACAAUGGGGGCAACCCGUGAUCCAGCCAUGCCGCGUGAGUGAAGAAGG
Molecule: ribosomal RNA, 407 nt
Filed under: bacterium enrichment culture clone ALO1_GLFRUDD03F0IH6
Lineage: Bacteria
Description: bacterial SSU rRNA
Rfam family: Bacterial small subunit ribosomal RNA
Source: RNAcentral